GGGACAAGUCUUUAGCGACGGUAUUAAAUUCUAGUCGUGAAAAGGAUAUUUUUAGCGAUUAGAUCUAAUUUUGGUACUAAAAAUCAAUUUUAUUUAUUUAACGACGAAGGAUAAAAAUCUCGUCCUAGAAAAUGUAAUCUACUGGUCGUUAAGGUCCUAAAAGAGUUGGACCCACAUGCCACCGAAUUUCUCCCUAAAUAUUUAUAAGUUAUAUCAUUUACAAAUAUAAAAAUGAAUUAUAAACAUUCCUCUGUUCAGCAACUUAGCGACUGGCUAGGGUUUACUCCCAUUCUCAACUUUUUCUCAAUCUUCAUCAUUUUUACAGCUUUGUUCCACGAUUUGAUUGAAAGUUGUUCUUGAUUUCUUGGUUCAGUGUCACGAUUUUUAACGGAACAUUUGAAGGAAAAAUAUUAUCAAAUUGGUGAUAACUUCAUUAAUGCUAUCUAUUGCAUUAAGAUGGUGAGUUGUAUCUAUGUUCAGGGACUUUAGGUAAUCAAUCAUAAAAUUUUAUUCCUUAGCUUUUUGAAACCUAUGAAUGGUUGAGGGGCUACAAUUUAUGUUUUCGGCAAUUGUGGAUUUGAAGAUAAUUUUUUUUGUAGUAUUAUAAAUAUAGUUAUGCUAAAUUGGUGUCUUGGAGCUAGAAAAUUUAAUUCAUAUCCUGUAUUCAGUAGAAGACAAACAUCUUUUAAAGUAGAUAUCGUCACUGGUGAAUUCACAAUUGAUGUUAAUUGGUGCAUAUACCUCUUUGUUUUGUUUUUUUUUUCAACUAGAAAGAGGAAAGGCCAAUUUCCUGUUAGCAAAAAGGGAACUUGACAAUAACUAUUAUUCUGUCAAGGCUUUCAAUUUUUCCUAGUAAUUAAAUUAAAAAACAAUGAACAAAAGCAACACUAAGUUCAAAAGUAAUUGUUGCACUAAACAAUCUGCACUGUCUAUAUAUACAUUUUGUAUGCAUAUAUAAGAAGAAACAACACUAUCUCCACUUCAGUUAGAUCAUAGUUUAGAAAUAUUUUUCAAUCUCAUUUUUCAGAGAACAAGUUUUGAAGUUGUUGGGAGUGUUGUCAAGCCCCAUUGCCCAACUAAAUUCGUUAGCAAAUUCAACAUGUUUGUACUUGUCCUUAAUGAUAGACCUAGUGGUAUUAUAAUAACCAAGCCAUGUCUGGUAUGCAAAUUCCUUGCUUUAUAUCUAAUAUAGAAUAACACAUGUUCCACCUCUUUUUGGCCUCUGGAUCUAGCAGAGAUAAAGGUGCAUUUGAUAUGGGCAAAUCUUUAAUCAUAAUAAAGAGAUGAAGAGGCCUUUUUUAUAUGGGAAAAUCUUGGAUAUAUAUUCUCAUCUCAGAAAUCUUUUGAACUGCAACCUUACAGAAAUUCAUACAAUUAGGAUUGGUGAAGAACUGAAGAUUAUGUUAUUGCUAGCUGAUGAGUCAAUGAUCUCAAGUUUAAAUUUCCAUUAGCUCAUGGAUGCAUGCAAUAACUUAUUCCCUUAUUUUUUUAUUAUUUAAACUUUGAAUUAUCAGUUUUAUUAUUACGCGUGGCACAUCUGGAAGGAGGGGGUGGUUCCUGAAGAUGACAGUUGAAUAAACUCGUGAAAUUGGAUUUCCUUCUGUUGUUUCUUAUACGCUUUCACUGACACUACUGAUACCAUGCAGACAUUAAUAUGCAGAUUGACGAGUUUACUAUUGAUACCUAGAAUGCAUAACUAGAUUAAACUCUAAUGUUGUAGUUGUAUCUAGUGUAAGAAUCUAAUGCAACACAGUAUUAAUUUCGAAGAUGUGAUUGGAUUGUAGAAUUUGUUUUCUUCUCUAAAGUUUUAUCAUUUGUUGCUAAAAGAAAAAGUCUAGCUUUGAUGCUAACCCUUGUACUUUUAAAUUGUAUUCGACCGCUGAACGUAAUUUCUUUAAAUAUUUCAGUUGGUCAUCUUAGUGGUGACUUCUAUUUGAAAUGAGCAUUACUAAGAGGUUAUGCUAAGACAGGGGCCAUGAACAAGAUUUGGAGAUUUCUGUUUACAAGUCGAGAUGCAAGUUUGAAUAUUUUCAACAAGUUUUGAUAAUCUGGUCAUCAUUUUGCUACUACAAUUUGGCAAAGUAUUUCAUUAAUUAUAUACUUGGAUAUGUUAGUUGUGCAAAGAAUAUCAUGAUCAUAAUUUUAAAAAGAAUUUGACAUGUAUGUGCGAUGCUAAUUAAUCGUUAGUUUAAUUAAUAUGAUGGGAAAAUACCCAAGUACUCCCUCAACCUAUGCCCGAAAUCCCAGAGACACACUUAUACUAUACUAAUGUCC
This 2274-nucleotide long non-coding RNA is filed under the name Solanum lycopersicum (tomato). RNAcentral describes it as "partial TCONS_00172834". Lineage: Eukaryota; Viridiplantae; Streptophyta; Magnoliopsida; Solanales; Solanaceae. The record is from RNAcentral.